GCGGUCAUGGCGGAAUGGCAGACGCGCCAGCUUGAGGGGCUGGUGGGAGGAUCUCCCGUGGAAGUUCGAGUCUUCUUGGCCGCA
Enterococcus sp. is the source of this 84-nucleotide non-coding RNA. Lineage: Bacteria; Bacillati; Bacillota; Bacilli; Lactobacillales; Enterococcaceae. The record is from Rfam.